UCAACUCACUCUGUCUGUCUGUCUGGUAAAAUGUUUGAACAUGUUUUUUCUCCCAUUUCUCUGAUCAAGUUAAAACUUUGCACAAUUAUUCAUUGUACCUGACAAGACACGAAUCAAUAAAAAAAAAAGUUAAUUAAUUAUUGGUGAUUAUUUAUUUUGCUUGAUAUUGAAAUAAGGUGAAUAAAUCCUACUUUAUGCGAGAUGUUGAUGUAUAUUGAAUUAAUCCCCUUAUUACCGGUAUGUUUUGACAAGUUUUUUUCUCCCACUUCCCAUUCUGGGAUCAAAGUGAAAUUUUGCUGAAUUAUUUAGGCGAUGACAAUACACAGAUCAAUAAAAAAAAUUUACCAAUUAGUUAAUCAAUUAGUAUUAACUAAUUAAUUUUGUUUUAUUUUGCAGGAAGGGAACUAAAC
Non-coding RNA from Biomphalaria pfeifferi, 410 nucleotides. The record is from the annotation of a GenBank genome assembly. NCBI's taxonomy places the organism in Eukaryota, Metazoa, Mollusca, Gastropoda, Planorbidae.